Molecule: non-coding RNA, 217 nt
Filed under: Mycoplasmatota bacterium
Lineage: Bacteria; Bacillati; Mycoplasmatota
Description: Tenericutes bacterium T-box sequence
Rfam family: T-box leader
About the family: Uncharged tRNA acts as the effector for transcription antitermination of genes in the T-box leader family.
Source: RNAcentral
AAGAAAUCGAUGAAGAGAGAGUAACGUUUAACCUCUAGGUUAGCGAAUCAGGGAUGGUGGAAGCCUGAUGCUAUGUCAAACGUGAAGAACACUCGGAGAGAUGGAAGAAAUUUGCUCGUCAAAAAGUAGAACCAUCCGCUAACCGCGUUAAACGUUUUAAAGGGCUAGAAUUCAUUCUAGAACUAAGGUGGUACCGCGUAUAUUUUACGUCCUUAGA